GACGAACGCUGGCGGCGUGCCUAAUACAUGCAAGUAGAACGCAGUUGCGCGCGCGUGAGUAACACGUAGGUAACUGCCUGCUAGCGGGGGGUAACUAUUGGAAACGAUGGCUAAUACCGCAUACUACCAGAUGGACCUGCUGUGUAUUAGCUAGUUGGUGAGGUAACGGCUCACCAAGGCAACCAUACAUAGCCGGACUUGAUAGGGGAUUGGCCCACCUGGGACUGGGAAAAGGGCCAGGACCCCUACGGAGGGAGAAGUAGGGGAACCGUGGGCAAGGGGGGAAAGCUGAACCGGCAAAGCCGCGGUAGGGAAGAAGGUUUUCGGAAUGGAAAGCUCUGGUGUUAAGGAAGCGGUAUCUAACCAGAAAGGGACGGCUAACUACGUGCCAGCAGCCGCGGUAAUUC
This 407-nucleotide ribosomal RNA is filed under the name uncultured bacterium. RNAcentral's name for it is "partial 16S ribosomal RNA". It matches the Rfam family "Bacterial small subunit ribosomal RNA", at positions 28 to 526 of the family's 1533-position model. The record is from RNAcentral.